AGCGAACGCUGGCGGCAGGCUUAACACAUGCAAGUCGAGCGGGCAUCGUCGGAUGUCAGCGGCAGACGGUAGAGGAACACGUGGGAACGUACCCUUCGGUUCGGAACAACUCUGGGAAACUGGAGCUAAUACCGGAUACGCCCUUAGGGGGAAAGUUUUACUGCCGAAGGAUCGGCCCGGGUCUGAUUAACUAGUUGGCGGGGUGACGGCCUACCAAGGCGCCGUACCGAAGCUGGUCGGAGAGGAUGGUCCGCCCCACUGGGGGUGAGACCAGGCCCAGACUUCUCGGGGAGGCCGCAGUGCGGACUCAUGCACGCUGCGCGCGAGCAUGAUCCCGCCGUGCCGCGUGAGUGAGGCAGGCGUUAGGGUUGUCAACCUAUUUUGUACGGAACGAUACUGACGGUACCGGAAAAAUAAGCACCGGCUAACUUCGUG
RNAcentral lists this ribosomal RNA (435 nucleotides) under uncultured bacterium. Its description in RNAcentral is "partial 16S ribosomal RNA". It matches the Rfam family "Bacterial small subunit ribosomal RNA", at positions 28 to 507 of the family's 1533-position model. The record is from RNAcentral.